AUUAAACGCUGGCGGCAUGCCUUACACAUGCAAGUCGAACGGUAGCGCGGGGCAACCUGGCGACGAGUGGCGAACGGGUGAGUAAAGCAUCGGAACGUGCCCUGGAAUGGGGGAUAACGUAGCGAAAGUUACGCUAAUACCGCAUAUUCUGUGAGCAGGAAAGCAGGGGAUCGCAAGACCUUGCGUUCUGGGAGCGGCCGAUGUCGGAUUAGCUAGUUGGUGGGGUAAAAAGCCUACCAAGGCGACGAUCCGUAGCGGGUCUGAGAGGAUGAUCCGCCACACUGGGACUGAGACACGGCCCAGACUCCUACGGGAGGCAGCAGUGGGGAAUUUUGGACAAUGGGCGGAAGCCUGAUCCAGCCAUUCCGCGUGAGUGAAGAAAGGCCUCGGUUGUAAGUACGU
RNAcentral lists this ribosomal RNA (402 nucleotides) under uncultured bacterium. RNAcentral's name for it is "bacterial SSU rRNA". It matches the Rfam family "Bacterial small subunit ribosomal RNA", at positions 30 to 433 of the family's 1533-position model. The record is from RNAcentral.